This is an RNA transcript of Musa acuminata AAA Group (dessert banana), 2983 nucleotides long. It is a transcript of the gene named probable DNA helicase MCM8, with no coding region annotated. The transcript is spliced from 19 exons. Lineage: Eukaryota; Viridiplantae; Streptophyta; Magnoliopsida; Zingiberales; Musaceae. The record is from RefSeq and is a predicted model, not a curated record.
CUUUUCUCCUCUCUCUCUCUCGAUCCCUACCGCGAUGUUUGCCGAGGGCGGAGAGAGGGGCGUUCCGGGUGGCCGCCCCCUGGAUCUGAGUGCGGCGUCGAGGAUUUGGCCCAACUAUUUCCCGCAGGUGGAGUUCGCCUUGGAGGAUCGCAAGGUCAAGCUCGUCGCGUUGCUUGCUGAUUUCUUCUGCACACCCCAGGCCGAUCCUUUCCUUUCUCAGGUGCAAGAUGAUUGUGGCAACUUCUUUCUCCCCAUUGACAUGCAGCAUUUCCAGAAGGCAUGUGGAGUUGAUGAAUAUUAUGCCGUUUUGGAGGAAGCACCUAAGGAAGCUCUGUCAUGCAUGGGUGCUGCAGUUCACAUGGUUCUCUCAACAAAGAAGAUUAAUUAUCAUUUGGAGGACGCAGAGAAAAUAAACAUUAGGCUAUAUAACCACCCUGAUUCAAUGAUCACUUUAAAGAACUUGAAAGCUGCAUAUAUAGGGAAGCUAGUUUCAGUGCGUGGUUCUGUUGUCAAGGUCAGCACAACCAGACCUUUGGUUCUGCAGAUGGAAUUUGCAUGUGGAAAGUGUGGAACUGUUAUUGCGCGUGUAUUCCCUGAUGGAAAGUUUUCUCCUCCAGUAGCUUGCAGCAUCCAUGGAUGCAGGAGCAGAACUUUUAUGCCAAAUAGAUCUACUGCAAAACUGAUAGAUUUUCAGAAAAUAAGAGUCCAGGAACUUCUUAAAUCUGAAAAUCAUGAAGAGGGUCGGGUGCCUCGAACUGUUGAGUGUGAAUUGGCUGAGGAUCUUGUUGAUUCUUGCAUUCCUGGUGAUGUUAUAACAGUUACUGGAAUUAUAAAAGUAAUUAAUAAUUACAUGGACAUUGGAGGAGGAAGGUCCAAAAACAAGAAUCAGGGGCUGUAUUAUCUAUAUCUGGAAGCAGUUUCUGUUAGAAACUCAAAAUCUCAGAGUACUGAGGAUGUUCGUGUAACUAAUUCUGAAAGUGGAGCUUAUAUGCUGUUUGAUUUUUUUUCUUUUUCACCCAGAGAUCUUGAAUUUAUUGUGAAAUUCUCUGAGGAGCAUGGUUCUGACAUAUUCCGUCAGAUAGUUCAUUCUUUCUGCCCCUCUAUCUAUGGGCAUGAACUUGUGAAAGCUGGCAUUGUGCUUGCACUGUUUGGGGGGUUGCAAAAGCAUUCGGUGGAUCAAAACAAGGUCCCAGUUCGAGGAGAUAUUCAUGUCAUUAUUGUUGGUGAUCCUGGAUUAGGUAAGAGCCAACUCCUGCAAGCAGCAGCAGCAGUUUCCCCUCGAGGCAUCUAUGUUUGUGGCAAUGCAACUACUAAUGCUGGCCUAACUGUUGCUGUCGUUAAAGAUCCUAUGACAAGUGAUUAUGCAUUUGAGGCUGGUGCCAUGGUUCUUGCUGAUCGUGGGUUAUGCUGUAUUGAUGAGUUUGAUAAAAUGUCUGCGGAACAUCAGGCUUUACUGGAAGCCAUGGAACAACAAUGUGUCUCUGUUGCAAAGGCUGGAUUGGUGGCAAGUUUGUCAGCUCGUACCUCUGUUUUAGCAGCAGCAAAUCCUGUUGGCGGUCAUUAUAACCGGGCAAAAACUGUCAAUGAAAAUAUAAGAAUGAGUGCUGCUCUCCUCUCACGAUUCGAUUUGGUUUUCAUUUUACUGGACAAACCAGAUGAGCUGCUGGAUAAGCGUGUCUCUGACCAUAUAAUGGCACUUCAUACAAGGAAUUCAGAGCAUUUGUUUUCUACCAAGAAGCAACGCACAGCUAUGCAACCUGACAAGAACAUGGAGGUAGGUGUUCGUAUUGGUUCAUUGGGUUCAAGGUUGAGACUGGACCCGGUGAAAGACAAGGACUUUGUUCCCCUUCCUGGUCCUCUUAUUCGCAAGUAUAUUGCUUAUGCAAGAAACUUCAUCUCCCCUAGGAUGUCUAGACCAGCAGCUGAGAUUUUGCAGAAAUUUUAUCUGCAACUUAGAGAUAAUAGUACUUCAGCUGAUGGCACACCUAUCACUGCAAGGCAGUUGGAAAGCCUAGUGAGGCUUGCAGAGGCUCGUGCUCGAUUGGAUCUCAGAGAAGAAAUUACCGUUGAAGAUGCAAUGGACGUGGUCGAGAUAAUGAAAGAAUCCUUGUAUGAUAAAUAUGUUGAUGAGCGUGGUUUUGUCGAUUUUGCACGAAGUGGUGGGAUGAGUCAACAGAAGGAGGCAAAAAGAUUCCUGGGUGCUCUUCACAAACAGUCCGAGUUGCAGCAAAAAGAUUGCUUCUCAAUUUCUGAGAUAUACAGCUUGGCAGACAAAAUCAGUUUGCGGGUUCCAGAUAUAGAUACAUUUGUGGAAAAUUUGAACAGUGUAGGAUAUCUGCUUAAAAAAGGACCUAAGAUGUAUCAGGUUUUGUCUUCGUCAUACUCUCACAGUCAGUCAACAAGAUCAAGAUGCUAAUAGUUGCUUGAACAUUUAGAUUGUGGUAAAAGAGUUUCAAAGAGGACAGGUCUACCGAUAUAUUGCCAGUGCAAGGAAUACAAUAUUAGCUUGCUGAAAGUGUAUUCUGCGCAUCACAGUUGAUAGGGCUUAGCUUAGCCAAAUUUACUCAUUCAUGCUUUUCUGUUCAAUUCUCCAUCGUAAGUGUAUUCUGCUGCUCGUUUUUGCAUGAAAGAUCUGUAUUUUUCUUCUCCACCCCACCCAAAAAAAACUUCUUGAUUAUUUCCAUCGUUAAGACUUCUACCAUCAUCCAUCUAAACCCAUAUAAACCUGAACACAAAAAGAAAUGUCAUGAUUCAGCAAGCUUCAAGAAGCUGAUUUCAUUUCUUUUUUCUCUCUGGGUUGUCAUAACAUUACCACUAUUUAUAUUCCUUUUCUCUUUAUCCAUCGUCACUCAUCACCAUUACAAUAGCCAAAACCAUCUCCACUUCUGGACAGAGAGAGAGAGAGAGAGAGAGAGAGAGAGAGAGGUUUUCCUUUGGCAGCUCAUCUAUAGUAAUAAUGAAAUUUAUAUGGCUAUCGUGCCAU